GAAACAGUUGUGAAAUCAACAGUGUUUUUUUCUACGAGUGCUUAAAAUUCGGGUUUCUAGUGAAAGAAGGUUUGGAGUUGUAUUUUGUUUGCUUUGAAAUAUUCAAAAUGAAUGAAAUAUCCUCAUCGAGUAGCGAAAGACUUCCUUCCGAAAGCAAAACCACCCGCACAGAAAGUGGUAUCGCCUGCGGGGCCACUGAACCAGAGAAUGAACUACUGGUGUGCGCCAGAGUGGCACGGGCCAGAUUUUGGUUUUCCGGAAAUUUACAGCGUUGAAGGUCCCACCAAGAAAACGAACGGACACACCUCAAGAUCGAUUGUGUGAUAAGCAACUUUCGGUUGUUGGAGGGAAUAUAAACAAUGUUAUAAACAUUA
Molecule: long non-coding RNA, 374 nt
Organism: Wyeomyia smithii (pitcher-plant mosquito)
Lineage: Eukaryota; Metazoa; Arthropoda; Insecta; Diptera; Culicidae
Exons: 2
Source: RefSeq, a predicted model, not a curated record